AGUUCCGAUUAUGGCUCCAGAUUGAACGCUGGCGGGAUGCUUUACAUGCAAGUCAGACAACGGCACGGACUUCGGUCUGGUGGCGAGUGGCCGAACGGGUGAGUAAUGUAUCCGGAACGUGCCUAGUAGCGGGGGGAUAACUACGCGAAAGCGUAGCUAAUGCCGCAUACGCCCUUCGAGGAAAGCAGGGGACCUUCGGGCCUCGCACUAUUAGAGCGGCCGAUAUCGGAUUGGCUAGUUGGUGGGGUAACGGCUCGCAAGGCGACGAUCUGUGUAGCUGGCCGGGGGACGACCAGCCACACCAGGACUGAGACUUUGGCCCAGACUCCUACAGGAAGGCAGCAGUGGGAAUUUUUGAACCCAAUGGGAAACCUGAUCCAGCCAUCCCGCGUGUGCGACGAAGAGGCCUUCGGGUUGUAAAGCACUUUUGGCAGAAGCGGCACGGGAUAAUACCCGUGCAACUGACGGUACCUACAGAAUAAGCACCGGCUAACUACGUGCCAGCAGCCGCGGUAAUACGUAGAGAGAAUUUAACAAGCGUUAAUCGGAAUUACAGGCUAAAGCGUGCGCAGGCGGUUCGGAAGAAAGAUGUGAAAUCCCAGAGCUUAACUUUGGAACUGCAUUUUUAACUACCGAGCUGAGUGUGUCAGAGGAGGUGGAAUUCCGCGUGUAGCAGUGAAAUGCGUAGAUAUGCGGAGGAACACCGAUGGCGAAGGCAACUCCUGGGAUAACACUGACGCUCAUGCACGAAAGCGUGGGGGAACCAAACAGAGUUGAACACCCUGUUGGUCCACGCCUAAACGUGUCAACGCUAGCUGUUGCGGGGCCUUCGGGCCUUGGUAGCGCAGCUAACGCGUGAGAUUGACCGCCUGGGGAGUACGGUCGCAAGAUUAAAACUCCAAGGAAUUGACGGGGACCCGCACAAGCGGUGGAUGAUGUGGAUUAAUUCGAUGCAACGCGAAAAACCUUACCUACCCUUGACAUGGAAUCCCGAAGAGAUUUGGGAGUGCUCGCAAGAGAGCCGGAACACGGGUGCUGUAUUGUCGUCAGCUCGCGUCGUGAGAUGUUGGGUUAAGUCCACAACGAAGCGCAGCCCUUGUCAUUAGUUGCUACGAAGGGCACUCUAAUGAGACUGCCGGUGACAAACCGGAGGAAGGUGAGGAUGACGUCAGGUCCUCAUGGCCCUUAUGGGUAGGGCUUACGUCAUGCAAUGGUCGGGACAGGGUCGCCAACCCGCGAGGAGACCAAUCCCGAAACCCGAUCGUAGUCCGGAUCACAGUCUGCUGGCGCUCGACUGCGUGAAGUCGGAAUCGCUAGUAAUCGCGGAUCAGCAUGUCGCCGGUGAAUACGUUCCCGGGUCUUGUACACCGCCCGUCACACCAUGGGAGUGGGUUUUACAGAAGUAGUUAGCCUAACCGUAAGGAGGGCGAUUACCACGGUAGGAUUCAUGACUGGGGUGAAGUCGUGGCAAGGUAG
This 1476-nucleotide ribosomal RNA is filed under the name uncultured Bordetella sp. RNAcentral's name for it is "partial 16S-23S ribosomal RNA intergenic spacer". It matches the Rfam family "Bacterial small subunit ribosomal RNA". Lineage: Bacteria; Pseudomonadati; Pseudomonadota; Betaproteobacteria; Burkholderiales; Alcaligenaceae. The record is from RNAcentral.